This 253-nucleotide ribosomal RNA is filed under the name uncultured bacterium. RNAcentral describes it as "partial 16S ribosomal RNA". It matches the Rfam family "Bacterial small subunit ribosomal RNA", at positions 524 to 776 of the family's 1533-position model. The record is from RNAcentral.
UACGUAGGUGACAAGCGUUGUCCGGAUUUACUGGGCGUAAAGAGCGCGCAGGCGGUCGUUCAAGUCGAGUGUGAAAGCCCCCGGCUCAACUGGGGAGGGUCACUCGAUACUGAUCGACUUGAAGGCAGGAGAGGGAAGCGGAAUUCCCGGUGUAGUGGUGAAAUGCGUAGAUAUCAGGAAGAACACCCGUGGCGAAGGCGGCUCUCUGGGACGGUACUGACGCUGAGACGCGAAAGCGUGGGGAGCGAACAGG